This 375-nucleotide ribosomal RNA is filed under the name uncultured organism. RNAcentral describes it as "bacterial SSU rRNA". It matches the Rfam family "Archaeal small subunit ribosomal RNA", at positions 476 to 851 of the family's 1478-position model. The record is from RNAcentral.
CCAGCACCCCGAGUGGUCGGGACGAUUAUUGGGCCUAAAGCAUCCGUAGCCGGUUUUACAAGUCCUCCGUUAAAUCCAACUGCUUAACAGAUGGGCCGCGGAGGAUGCUAUAAGACUAGGAGGCAGGAGAGGCAAGCGGUACUCAGUGGGUAGGGGUAAAAUCCGUUGAUCCAUUGAAGACCACCAGUGGCGAAGGCGGCUUGCCAGAAUGCGCUCGACGGUGAGGGAUGAAAGCUGGGGGAGCAAACCGGAUUAGAUACCCGGGUAGUCCCAGCUGUAAACGAUGCAGACUCGGUGAUGGACUAGCUUCAUGCUAGUCCAGUGCCGCAGGGAAGCCGUUAAGUCUGCCGCCUGGGUAGUACGGUCGCAAGACUG